Molecule: transfer RNA, 124 nt
Filed under: Actinomycetota bacterium
Lineage: Bacteria; Bacillati; Actinomycetota
Description: tRNA-Tyr
Source: RNAcentral
GCGGGCGUUGGUGGUGAGUGCGCAGACGGGGCACUUGAGUGUGCGCCUACGCGCGGGGCCGGACGGCAGCGUACUGUAAAUCUGUCGGCGUAUGCCUUCCAAGGUUCGAAUCCUUGACCCGCCA